This 3712-nucleotide long non-coding RNA is filed under the name Xyrichtys novacula (pearly razorfish). The record is from RNAcentral. Lineage: Eukaryota; Metazoa; Chordata; Actinopteri; Labriformes; Labridae.
UCUUCUUCUCCUUUUUGGUUUCGGCAGACUAGACGCAGUCUAUGGUGCUUAUAUUCUAUUGGAGUGCAGGUACUGCAGCAGCUUCUUCUUGAAACUCAUGAUCAUUACUUUAUCAUUUCCUUUAAGUAAUAAUCAUUAUAUUAAUUAUUUUGUACUGCAGACACGGUGGUUCUUCUGCCUUAGCAUCUCAGUCUGACUGCAUUUCCAUGAAGAAAUGAUCAUAAAUGUUCUUCCUUGAACUGCGUCACCCUGCUGCAGUCUAUAAUGGACUGGCCCGAGGUCUCGCUGCAAACAAGCGGCUGCUGGAAGAGAGUGGAUGAGUUGUGUUUAGUCUCUUUGCUAAAGAUAUUAGGCAAAGUUAAAAAGAUGUUUGUAGGUGUUCACUUCUUAUUUUAGUAUGUUAAAGUCAUCCAAACUUAUUUGCGUCACAUACUCCGUGCUUUUGACUGAGUUCCCACUGAGCAGACUUGGUAUGCAAACCCUCCUCUACACCUACACCUCCUCCUAGGACAGUGUGGUGUUCCUCCCUCAUCCUAUUCACAUCUCUGAGUUACACCUGCACAUCUGUUAUGAAAGGCACAUCAUUAUCUAAGGCAUAUGUCAAGGUCAUAGACAUGUGAUGAUUAUUAGGAACACUUCUAAUAAAUGACUGUUAAGGCAUCAUAGCAGAUUAACAGUUUAAAACAAUACUUCCCAACACUUGGCACUUCUAGGCAUAAACUAAAAUCUUUCUUUACCGAGAGUCUCUCUUCUAUACAUUGUGACACAGUGAUCAAUUGCCCCCGUGUUAGCUUUAAACUUUCUAUCUGACUCAUCAGUACAUGUCCGCAGUGGGCUCACAACAUAAUGUAAACAUAAUAAGAAAACAGUUAAUCACCUGAAACAAUGACUUAAUGAUUGGCAUGACACAUUAGUUCCCACAAGUACCAACCCUUUUUCUUCAUGUAAGUUCUAAACCCCUUCUUUCUAAUGGUGUCUGGGAAGGCUGAUGAGGUAAAGCCCCUCCUCGAUGAGCUUAGCCAACUGGUUAUUGUUUUCUAAUGCUGUCUUGGUAAUGGUAAGUUCCUGUGACUGGGUCACAUGUACAUUUCUUGGAAACAUACAGUCAACAUGCUUUAGUCUUAUAGCUGCUCUUGUCGUGAACAUACAUUGAACAUUGUCCAGUCACACAAAUACCUGUUGUGAAAUUAUCCAAUAAGGAUGUAGAAUAAUUUCACAUGUUCCAAAAGUGAUUCGAGGCCUCAGCACAUCACAUGACUUUAGAUUAGCUUUUGCACAGCUUCUCCAAGAGAAGAUACAGAACUUCAACAGAGAACAGAACAACAAAAAAUGACUCCACAUGUCCUUGAGAAACUGUGAAAGACCUCUCUGAGUUUAAGAAAUACCAGGGCUGAUUUUUCUCCAGCCCUGAAUGGAAUGAGACUGAACAGAUCUGGUCAGAGCAGAGGGAGGGGGAGUUUUCAGAGUUAUAAACCAUGCCAGGGUGGGUCAGACUCAGGGAGUGUGAGUGUGAGUGUCUGAGCUCUACUAUGUGUGUGUGCACGCAGCAGAUUCUCCCCUGCAAACACUUCCAGUGUCACACAGUCUGAACCAGCAGGAUGCAACUGUGUUUGAAGUCCCAGGGGAGAUUUUGGAGCGAGGUUUCACUAUCUGAUCUGAACCCUUAUUCAUGCAGCUUCACUCCUACACAGUGUGUUUAAAAGUAUGUGUACAUGUGUAUGUGUGUUUGUGACAGGGUGUCCAAGAAUUUGAAGAAUAUUUGAAGCUCUUUUUAGAGAGGCCUCUCUGUUUUUAUGUUUUAUCACAUAAAAUUCAUUGUAUGAGUCACAGCAGCUUGUCUAAGGGCUGAUCUAAUCAAAGUCCUAUUUUUCCAGUAGAUGAAGCCUCAUGAAGCUCUGGGGCUUUCUUUCAAUUUGUGCCGAGCUCGUGAGCAAGAAUUGGGCGGGAAGAUUGGCAUUGAUGGAGGUCAGAAGGAGAAGAAAGGAGGAACAGAAAGAGAGGAAGAGACAGAGACAGAGAGAAAGAGGGGAAAAAGGCCCUUGCAGGAGAUGCAACCACAUGUGCAGAAAUUGUUUUUAAGCAGGACACCAUCAGGUGAGUCAGUGAUCAACCAAAGGGAAACCUUUGCGAGAAUCUGUGCACUUCAACAUGCACACAUGAAAGUUGUAUUAAUUAACAUUCAUGUCUUCACCUAAAAAGAAGGAGAAAAGGCAACAACCUCUGAACCUAAACCCCUGACACACAGGUAAUUUUUUCACACCAAACUGCACUCGAUGACUUCCUGACAUCUGGAGAUAACUGGAGAGCCCUCAAAGUUGUUAAUCAUUGGAACAUUCAGCCCCAGAAACCAGACUCCAGUCAGAUUGGAUUAAGAUGUUUGUCCUCGUGUUUAGGAAAGAGGAACAACAGCAGGCUGAAUGCACAUGUUUGAUGGGCCUUAUGAUGAUUUCUUGUCUUCACACAACAUUUGCAGUAAAACGGCCUUCAUCCUAUACUUCUAGGCGGUUCAAAAGCACAGAAAGCAUUGUCACACAUUUAAUCCAACUUUUUCAGAGAUCAACAGCUCCUCCUAGUGGCAUCUUUUUUGGGUUCAUUGUCAACUGAAAUGUUUCCUUAGGAUGGGGAACUGUUUUUGUAUAUGACCUAAUCUUGCCAGAGGCCUGGACCUCAUGCAGAACUGCUCCAAGAGUCCUCUUGAGAAUCAUCAUCAAACAAGUAGGCAAACCAAUCAAUCUCCUAAGAACAAAAGGGUUCAGAGUUUGUAGAAAUUGUUGACUGGACUUUUUACCCAAAAAGAGCCAAAUUCUUACCCAAAGCUAUCUGCAGACCGCUGUUAACACUGGUUAUUAUAAUAUGUUCAUUUACUAUCAUUAACCUCAAUAAUUAUGACUCACCUCAAAAUGUUCAUGUAUCCAUUCACAGAAUUGUGUAUCAAUUAUCAUUAUUUUCUCAUUAUUUAUUGCAUCUGCGUAUAAACAUAAGCAUUCUCUCAUAAAUUCACCAUUUAUUUAAAGUUUUUGUCUUUUUAGUUUUCCUGCAGAAGUUGGUGUCCCUGAAAUCACAACUCUAAUUCUAGAUAUUUAGAUAUGAGACUGAUCUAAUAUUGAUUUAAUGUCUAAUAAUUGAACUGCCCUCUGGAUUAAUAAAAAAUACUGCAAAGGCCGAGUCUUUUAAAAGCUGGGUCCUUGAAAAGCCAGUAAAAGAAAAAUUGUAUGUGUAUGUUAUCAUCAUUUACUGAAAAUCACUUUGUGUGAAUGCUUGUAAGAUUAUCUCUGCUUCUUUUAGACAAUGACUAUGUGAAAAGAGAUGUGAGGAUGUUGAGGCAUUUACAAUGCUGUGACCUUUAAGUUAUGGCUGUUGUUAACUAACAUUUGUAUUUUUUUACUGAACUCAUAACUCACUGUCUGAACUCUGUUCACUUCAGCAACUUAAUAAAUGUUUUCAUUUAACUUACAGGUUGUUUUCAGAACAGUGUGACUUUUGACUUGAUAAGCAGGAACCCGCUGAACCGCGAGGCUCUCUGUGAUCUGCCGGUAUCGACCACAAAUUCAACCUUUGCCAUACUUGGUUAUUGUUUUACUGCUUACCACUUUGUUUUAAGGUGUUGACUCCUUCAAAGUAAAAGAUUUAAAGACAAAGACUACACUCUCUGUUGUCCUUCUCAGCUGACUGCAAGUAGAAUUUUUCUGACAGCUAAGAAAUUAAAAACUGG